UAGAAUUAUAAGCGAGGGUUGUCGCUGGCCCCCUCGGGGGCAUGUGCACGCCCGAGCUCUUAAAUCCACAACACACCUGUGAACCCACCGUGGGCCCCUCGCGGGGCUUACCUUUAUAUACUCUGAAUGUCUCAUAGAAUGUCAAACUGUUGCCUUAAAAACGCAAUCGAAUA
This 173-nucleotide unclassified non-coding RNA is filed under the name uncultured Atheliaceae. RNAcentral describes it as "sequence contains ITS1". Lineage: Eukaryota; Fungi; Basidiomycota; Agaricomycetes; Atheliales; Atheliaceae. The record is from RNAcentral.